AGGAGCGUAGCUCAAUUGGUAGAGUUCUGGUCUCCAAAACCAGCGGUUAGGGGUUCGAUUCCCUUCGCUCCUGCCA
Molecule: transfer RNA, 76 nt
Filed under: Streptococcaceae bacterium
Lineage: Bacteria; Bacillati; Bacillota; Bacilli; Lactobacillales; Streptococcaceae
Description: tRNA-Trp
Rfam family: tRNA
About the family: Transfer RNA (tRNA) molecules are approximately 80 nucleotides in length.
Source: RNAcentral